GAGGUGGAUGAGGAAGAUGAGGAGAACAAGGUGGACUAGGAUUUGUGCACGGAGAAGAACGAGAAGGAAAAGGACAAGGAAGCUGAGGGUAACAAGGUGGACGAGGAUUUGUGCUCGGCAACGCCUCCGAAGACUUUUUUCACACCGGCCAUCUAAUCCUCUGAGUCUGCAGCUUACAAUAAAGUUGUGGCAUCUAAGAGAUGUGAGAACUCGACUGAUAGGUCAGAAACUGAUGCAUCCUCUGCACAUCAGUCUGGUAGCAAUACUUCGUCAUGCGUACAAAUACGUUCUUAUUCGAUGUUGAAAGAAUGAGUGAUGGAUCAGUAUCUUACCGAAGAGAGAGAUCAUCUGGUGUAUGGGGGCUGUAUUCAAUCACGACUCGUUUCGUAAUUCAGCAGAGAAAGUGGCUUUAUUCAAAUACAUUUUCUCCGAAAUUGAUGAAGUCCAAAAAUUAGAACACGGUAAAUUUAAAAUUUCGUAUGUAAUUAACCUUGGUCUUGCGCCUUACUUUAACAACAAUUUAUAUGAUAUCACUAAGUCAUGUGAUACUUAUGUACUAGAAUUCUGCGAAAGCCUAACCAAGAUUGCACAGAAACAACAAAUGCAUCGCAUUGUGAGAUAUUGGGACAAAGAAAAAAAUGAAGUAAGUACGUCGAGGUACCCGACGUCUGUUUUCCUGGAACAUACGACUGAAGAAGAUUUGUUGAAGGCUUUCAAAAGAGCCAUAGAUGGAUCCGAUCUUGAAAAGAUUCUACAUGCAUCGAUGGACGGCUCACAUGUCAAUUUCAAAUUUUUUGGCUUCGCAAGGAGGACAUUAAAUCUGAGAAUGAUGACCUGAAACUUCUUGAUGUCGGUUGAUUCGGUAUUCAUUCGCUGCAUUGUGCAUUCCAAGCUAGGAUUUGCGGUACUGGUUAGGAAAUCAUCGAUUUUUUGAGAGCCUUGUAUAACUUUUUUAAAGACGGUCCUUCUCGACGAAAAGAGUUUAUAGGAUAUUACAUGAGAAGGAAAUAUUGAAAGAAAUAUAAUGAAGAAUUAUAACAGGCCUGAAGGAAGACUUGCUCAUUUUUUGAUGCGAACGUUGAGAAACACUGACGGUAACGAUCAUUUCAAAAUCUUCAUUAAAACAUUGCUCAUUAUAUCACAUGGUAAUGCGAACUUAGAAAGAGUCUUUUCGACCAACAAAGAAAAACUCGUAAAAAAUCUUCAUGAACAAUCUGUGGUACUACGGUAAGUUUACGAUGCUGUUAUCGCAGCUAGUGGGAUACACAAUGUUCCAAUCACUAAAGCACUUAUCCAUGCCGCAAGAAAUACUCACACGAGAUACAAGGCAGCUUUGGUGCAAAAAGCAACAGAGAACAAGGCCCAAGAACAUGAGAAUGAGCAAACGAAGAGGGUCGCUCGGUAACAAAGAGAACUAUCAACAAAAAAGCUGAAAGUGCUCAAAGAAAUACACGAGAAAAAAAGCUGAUUUCGAAGAAAUUAAUAACCAGGCGAAGUCCGUUCAUCGAGCAUAGUGACGAAGAGAAGCAGUUACUAAAACAUUACCGUUCUCAAAAAUGUAUCUCUACCUAUCAUGUUGUACCGUUUUAUAAUUUGUGAUACUUUUUACUGGCAAAAACUGUUACAAGGGUUACCUAACGCACAUCUGGAUGUGUAUUAUCGCGCAAAACCCUCCCGGGGUACAUCUGACCCCGAUGUUCCAGAAAAACCAAUUCACAACCUAUGUUAAGUUAACUAGUCAAGUUACUUCCUCGUCUAUUUCUUCUUAUCUACGUAACGCGUAUAACACGAGCUACGGAUACAAUCAACGAGGAGAACUAUCGCAACAUACCACCAACGAGGAGAACUAUCGCAACAUACCACCAACGAGGACCACUGGCGCCACAAGGGACUAAUUUCUUGGCAAUUAUUUAUGUACAUGCAUGUGUAUAUGUAUACUUAUGC
RNAcentral lists this long non-coding RNA (1944 nucleotides) under Neodiprion pinetum (white pine sawfly). RNAcentral's name for it is "uncharacterized LOC124222164". The record is from RNAcentral. Lineage: Eukaryota; Metazoa; Arthropoda; Insecta; Hymenoptera; Diprionidae.